CUCUAUCUCCCUCUGUCUCUCCCUUUUUCUCUUUUUCUUCCGCUAUACAUACUGUCCAGUUAUUUUUCGCAAGAAAUUUUAGAUCACAAUAGUUACAUAUUUACAACUGCGUAAGAAAAUAAUUCGACGACGUCUUUAACCACCUAAAUAUAUUUGUUUUACGGAACGAAACUACCGGUUCGGCACCAGAUGGGUUAAAACACAUGCCACUCGAAUACGCCAUAUGACUCACGCACGAGUGACAGAAUUUUUUUGAUUACCUGAUAUGUAACAUCCCUGUCUACACAAAAAUUAACACUGAUAUUGCAAUGAGGCAUUUAUGCUUUUAUUGUAACGCAUGGGAACAAAGUUUGCAAGUACCUUAUGUUACUACCGGAAGUUUUGUACACUAGCUAAUAAUUAUGGAAGCAAUUUUUAUAAGUGUUGACACGUAUGACUGUUCGAUAUCUGUCCCUAAAAUGCAAACGCACCAUACGAAUGUACAAACUGGAAUGAAAGGGGAAAAACUGAGGCAUGGAGAAAGGGCGACCUACACCUGCACCUACUUCGUACAGCAAUUUAUUAUUCAAAAGUGUUAUUCUACGGGAAAUAAACAUUCGUUGAAUUUCA
This is a long non-coding RNA of Harpegnathos saltator (Jerdon's jumping ant), 609 nucleotides long. RefSeq lists it as uncharacterized. The record is from RefSeq and is a predicted model, not a curated record. NCBI's taxonomy places the organism in Eukaryota, Metazoa, Arthropoda, Insecta, Hymenoptera, Formicidae. The transcript is spliced from 2 exons.